Empidonax traillii (willow flycatcher) is the source of this 1234-nucleotide long non-coding RNA. RefSeq lists it as uncharacterized. Lineage: Eukaryota; Metazoa; Chordata; Aves; Passeriformes; Tyrannidae. The record is from RefSeq and is a predicted model, not a curated record. The transcript has 2 exons.
AGACACUAGGUGGAAGCCUUGGGCUGCGGUUCCUUCGCAGCUGCUGACGGCAGGAAGAAGAGGACUUGUGCUUUCAGAAAGGAGAUAUUUUUCUUUUCUUCUUGCUUCCACAUACUAGAAAGGGAACUCCAAGCUCUCCAGGUGCACAGUGGAGUGAACGGAGGAAUGGAGGAGAAGUGUCAGUCUCAUCCCGGGUCCUCCCUGCAACAGGAUCUUUGCAAUGACUUCAAGAGCUCCAUGGCUGUUCUGCAGACAGAUGCACAAUUGUGAAACAUCAAUAUGGACUGCAAAUCUCUACUGUCAGUCAGCUCCUCUUCCCCUCUGCAUAACAUAAUCUCUAUCUCCACAAUGCCUGCACAGAUACACACUUGCAAAGAUGUUUUUCUGGCGAUAGUGUGCAUAGCAAACAUUCCCUUACUUGUUCUCAUCUCUAGCAACAUUAUAUGGAGUUUCAGUUCACAGUUCACUGUGUUCGCCCUCCUACUACUGAAAUGCAACCAACUCUGAGCUGCGGUUAUUAAACAUCACACGAGCAACACCCCAAAGCAGAUUGUGAAAAGCAAAGGAAUUUAGAGAAAAGUGACAAAUUGAGUGAGAUCUGCAAAGGUUGUCUGGAAAGUGAUAACAAAGGAUCAUAGGGAAUGAGUUAAUCGUGAUGCAGAAUAGCCAUUACCAGGACAUGCAGGUGAUACCAGCAUGAGAGGGUGAGUUUUUGAGGGUGGCACAAAGAGAUGCCACUAGGAGCAACCGGGUUUCAGCCAGGGAGACAAGCAGGUCAGCUUUCCUAACCACUGAGUUUUGUCAGACUGCUAGAGUCCCAAGGAAAGGGCUGCAGGCAUCAUUGCUUGAGGGUUUUAAAACUGGUCCUAGUUUCAAGACAGGAUAAGGCACUAUCAGGACAGAUGAAUAAAACAAGGUAGAGCAAGUAGCCGUACCUAUCCCCCCUUUGUAUGAGUCUGAGAAAACAGCUGGGAGAAAGAUGGCAAGGUCUUAAGAAAUCACACGUAUAGAGUUAGGAAACUGUGAGAACUGGCUUGACAGUAGCUGUGACAUGGCCAGGGAAGAGCUUCCAAAGACAGUACUCUUCUUUGACAACAUGAUGACCUUAGAGUGGGAAGAUGUGCAAUGAAUCAGAGGAAAGAGAAAUGUGUGUGAAUGUAUGUAGCUGUUUAUGUGUGCAUGUAGCACAACAGGAAUUUCAUUCAGAUAGAAUAAAACAUUGUAGGUGUCUGUA